GUCUAUGGCCAUAGCACCCUGAACAUGCCCGAUCUCAUCUGAUCUCGGAAGCUAAGCAGGGUCGGGCAUGGUUAGUACUUGGAUGGGAGAGAGAUGAAGCAAAUGAGAUCUAUUUUCUCGAAUGCC
RNAcentral lists this ribosomal RNA (126 nucleotides) under Erinaceus europaeus (western European hedgehog). The record is from RNAcentral. Lineage: Eukaryota; Metazoa; Chordata; Mammalia; Eulipotyphla; Erinaceidae.